GGCGGGUGUGAGUCUGCGCGGGGCUGGAGCGGCCCUCUUGCAGUAAGAUGGCGGCCGGUGUCGGGGUGCAUAUGCAGCUGAUUUGCAUUGAUGAAGAUUGUCAGAAUGAAUGAAUCUGAAAGUAAUAAUGGACUAUGAGAAAUUGAAUAAACUGAUCUGUCCUGGAAACGGAAAGCUGUAGCAAAUGUUACUUUGGCGUAUAUGAGGGUGCACAUGCAGCUGAUUUGCAUUGAUGAAGAUUGUCAGAAUGAAUGAAUCUGAAAGUAAUACUGGACCAUGAGAAAUUGAAUAAACUGAUCUGUCCUGGAAACGGAAAGCUGUAGCAAAUGUUACUUUGGAGUAUAUGAGAGGUCAAAUACAUUAGAUGGACUAACAAAGAGCUGCCAUUAUACCGGGUCUUGAAAUUUUCGAGAUCAAUAUGAGGUACUCAAACACAUCAGAUGGAGUAGCAAAGAGCUGCCAUAAUGCCGUGUCUUGAAACUUUUGAGACCAAUAUGAGGAGGUGAAUAAAGUAGACCAGGAACAAGUAAAUGCAAGUUUAUGGAAAACAGUUGCAGGAAGAUGGUAUGAAAAUAUAUUCGAGUUCAAAAUCCCUUUCUUCAAAUUCCUCUACAGUCUUGCCCCACCGUACCUCAGACUGUACCAACCCAUUCAUUCAGUGGGCACCAGCUUGCUUCAUGCUCGCUACCCGAACGUUGGCAGUCGGGCUCUCAGCCUAUCUCACUCCCUAGUCUGGAACUCCAUACCGGAAUCCCUCCCGACUCCCACGCUCACCUCUUGAAAAGUCAGUCAAAACCUUCCUCUUUGACCAAACCUUCAGUCAUCUCUCUCUUCCCUCCCCCCCCGACUCCCACUCCAGCUUGGGUGCCAGCCAGGACUGUCGAGUGCCUUGGGACAUCCUCCCAACAUGAAAGGUGCUAUGUAAAUUUGUAUUGUAUUCUACACAUUUAUAAAAUAGAAAGGAACCUAUUGAUCCACCUGUCCAGUUUUGCAAAUGUUAAAUUACUACUGUUUACAAUAAAUGGGAUGGAUUACCACAAAUGUG
This is a long non-coding RNA of Callorhinchus milii (elephant shark), 1045 nucleotides long. RefSeq lists it as uncharacterized. The record is from RefSeq and is a predicted model, not a curated record. NCBI's taxonomy places the organism in Eukaryota, Metazoa, Chordata, Chondrichthyes, Chimaeriformes, Callorhinchidae. The transcript is spliced from 8 exons.